Pseudoliparis swirei is the source of this 4457-nucleotide long non-coding RNA. RefSeq lists it as uncharacterized. The transcript has 2 exons. The record is from RefSeq and is a predicted model, not a curated record. NCBI's taxonomy places the organism in Eukaryota, Metazoa, Chordata, Actinopteri, Perciformes, Liparidae.
CGGGGUCAGCCAUGUUUCCGUCAGACAAAAGAUAUUACAGUCCCUCAUGUCCCGUUGGAAUCUGAUCCUUGCCCUAACAUCAUCCAUCUUAUUUUCCAGAGACUGGACGUUAGCAAGAAGGAUGCUGGGCAGAGGUGGACGGUGGGCUUGAACUCUCAGUCUGUUCCGAAUUCCGCUCCGUUUCCCUCGAUGUUUUCGUCGUCUCCCCGUAGUAGCGGCUCCACUGUUGUUGAUGUGGUUCGCUCGUACGAUCUCUGCCGGCCACGCUGGAUCGUACGAGCCCUCAGCCCGAGACUAAGGACACAUUUACUUUACUGAUAUCACUUCUCAGAAUUUCUGAGUAAAGUAAAACCACACCAAUUGAUUAUGGUAGUCAACAUGCCCAUUUGUUUAGCAUAAUUUAUUUUUUUCCCCCCGAGUACAGUUUCAUCUGCCUCCUCUGCAGAGUAAAAGUGGCCUUAUUUUCAGCAGUUCUUCUCGGACAUUCUUCCUCUCUCCCUUGGUUGCUGCCCAUUACUUUAUAAUGUCUGCUGUCUGCUGUAUGAAAUUAUCCUGCAGAUUCUCCGAUACAUUGGGGAGAAAAGAAAAUCAACACCACCACCAUCCCCCUCCAACUGCAUUCCCUUUGCCUUUUGCGCGGCUUAUUAUCGCACCACUCACAAUACAAUAUGUUCUUAUUGAAGCUUUCAGAUGCAAAUUAGAGCACUGUCGCCUUCUCUGUGUCCUUCUGACAGCUGUGAGGCCUGCUAGCCAACCUCCUAUAAUUGCUACUAAUUGUUAUUCCCCAAGCAGGACUCAGCAGAGCACUUCAGAACACCCUGCCCCCAGUCAUUUGGACUGGGGGGAGCUGGAGUAGUAUGUGGUUGGUUUAUGUCUUCACAUAUUUUUUGGGUUUUGUUUAAGUAAAUACAUUGGGAGAGAUGGGAAUUAACGAAGGGGGUUUGCAACUCUUCCAGGAAAAAUAAACCGGAACUUUCCUACGUGUGCCUCCUAAGAGCAAUGCUCAAUGCCUAUAGAGAAAGUAAAACUAAGUAAAGUAAAGUAAGCUGUUUACAGUGAGACCCAAGCCUUUGCUGGAGGAUGAAGUACAAUGACAUCAUGUCAUCUACUACCCAUGGUUGUUAGAUGGCCAGCUCCAACAAAUCCCAACUCUUAUUGACUCCCAUUCAGAAAGCAACAAACCUUCUUGCUAGAAAUGCUAAGUCAAUACAUGUUUUGCAAUGGUCUCAAUCGCUGGUGGUCGUUUUGUCAAGGAUUCCUCCGUUAAUAAUAUAACUAGGCCAAGGGCAUUGAUUGACAGUUGUGAUUGACAGUAGGCACGCCUGCCGCUCUGUCCGGCUUCAGGAAUCGCACUAACUGAUUUCUGAGCUUGUACAUUGGUUGGUUCUGUUUGUUCACAUCACUUCCUGUGUGUAUGAGCCCGAGAGGACAGAGAUCGUUUAUCUGUCAGGAAGCUGACUAGCUGUCUCUCUCUCUCUGUGCCUGUCAACUCUUUGUUUAUCUGGACUGACAGCGCUGACAAUGGUGCUUUCCACAUUCAUACAUACACAUACACACACACCACAGUAUGCAGGAAUUAAAAUAUGGGGAAAUGAAAACGUUUGGAUGCGUUGGUAUUUUACAAAAUUCAAUACAAAAUGUAAUUCGUGGAUUUUUGUUAAUAAUAGCAGAUUCAGUUGUUCUUUGUCAUGGUCUAAACCCAUAACCCAGAUAUUGAACUAGAUCACAUUUGAUUAUUACAGCUGGAGGAAGGUUGUAACUCUGUCUCUGUUCAAAUAUGGUCUCUGAUUCCAGAUGUGAAUGUGGUCCGUGAUUGGUAUCUGGAUGUCCACUGGUGCAUGAAGAUAGCCCUCCUCCCAGUCGGUGCUUUGACUGGUUUUGGUUUUCGUCUCAUGGUUCUUGUCAUUAGGGUGUUCCAGCAAAAAUGUAGGGCACACCAAGGACACCAAAGCAUUUUUUCCUAUCUUAAAACAUAAACUUCUUUUCUAGGGUUGUCACCACGGACAUCCAGUUUGAAUUAUUGCAAAUAUAUAAAUAUUGCAAUACUUUUAUUAGUGGGCUCAUCAGGUUGUGUUACCUCCUUCAGCUGGAAGGCCUGAAGGCCAGUGAGCUGGUAAUGGUUAAAAAACAGAUCAAACUGCAUAUGGUUUGUGAUCUAUUCAAAGUUUGGGCUCAUAUAAAAAAGGUAUUUCUCCACUCCCUUUCCUCAAUUGGCUUGUAAUUUCACAGUUGUUCAGUUUACUUCUAUAAAGUCCUGUACUUGUAAAGAUGUUGUACCUCCUGAUUUUACUUUUUGUUUUAGGAUUGCUCAAUGACUAACUGUUUGUAAGUUUGCAGUUCACUUUGUUCCAUGACUAAUAGUGUAAUUUAGGCCUGUUGACAUGCAGCAGGGAGAGGCCUUUGAAGUAGAGUAGAGCAGGACACUGACAUGGAGACUCGAGCAGCCAUCUUCAACAUCAAAGAGAACAAGUAGUUAUAAUAAUGGUGGCAAACACCAUCCCCCUGUCUCUGCCUUUCUUCUUUCAUCAUUUCUUAUCUCUAUGCUCAGUCAUUUACACAAUGUUGUCAUUUCUGCUUCGUAUUAUUCUUGUUUUAAUCCCUUCAUCCUUCUCUUCUAUUACAUUGCCCGGAAUUUGUGAAAUUUAAACAUACCUUGUAGCCCACACAUAUGGCAAUCAGUACUAGAAAAAAGACAAAUUUAAGGAUAAUAGGAUUGCUUUCUCAAUCUGGACAUGCACAUAUACAAAAAUAAAUAAGUUGGUCAUAUGGCCGUACGUAAAUAUAUAUAUAUAUAUAUAUAUAUAUUCUGUAUCUGUAUGCAGUACUUUUUCUUAUAGUAGGGCUGCUAUGACAGAAGGGACAACGCUCCAGCUAAUGCCUUAAGUCUGUGUAGAUUGCCAUGAUGAAUACUGUAGCUCUGUUGUUGAGGUCUAGCAGUUCAGAUGAUUUUUUGGUCAGUAUUUUAGAACAGUCAGCAUUGUGCUGGGAACAUUGAAAUCUAUGCUAUUGUAGAGUAUUGGACAGGAGGUGUUGGGCAACAGACAUACAUGAGCUUUGGCUGGCAUUGUUCAAAGGUACUCAACUGUUUAUUACAUUUGACCUUUUGACCAUGAACUUAUAAAAAUAGGUUUCUACUUGGGUGUUUGUGUAGGUUUUUUUCAACCAUAGCUUCCUUUCAAAACAUCAAAUCAAGAGACAACAAUAACACAAUGUGCUCUUUCAAACAUCUAUGGCAUAGCAUGUUCUCACAUAAUGUUUUGCCUCAUCACCUUUCAUCUCCCACAUCACUGAUUUGUUCAGUGAUUCAAAUAGUUCUGGUGUCAUGCUCAUUGAUGUUUGUUUCCCUGGUGGGAAACACAACCAUCAAGUACAGCUUUACAGUCAAACAUUAAUAACCAAAGACCCAACCACACCUCUAAUGUCUACAUUUAAAAGUUUCCUAUGCUUUUUUCACAACCUUUUUAGCUAGUGUUAUGACUUGAAUGCACUCAAAUCCCCAUUGGUAGUAUAUUAACAGACAAACUUCCAUUUGCUAAUAAAAAAAUCGUAAAGGCAAACGGUAUGUUGUCCUUCCCUCACGGACCUAGAAGAGACAAUGAAAGUAGGCUUGUGCAUCCACCCUGAUGAGGUUUGGCAAAAUGGGUGGACAGGGUCUUUGACUUGUCCAUAAUGGUCUCCCUGUCGGUCUCCCUUGGCAGGACGUUGAGAUUCGGAACAAUGCAGCUCAGUACCUGCCUCAGAUCAGCCAGCUGUUGAAUCGAGUCCCCCGGGAGAUGCUGCUGCUGCUGAAGACCAACGACUUGCUGAGGAGCAUUGAGACCAUCUUACAGACCAGAUCCUCCUCCUCGUCCUUCAUUAACAUGUCCCGCUGCUGCAUACGUGCCGUGGCCAGGCACAAGAGGAGUAAGGCUCAGUCGAUGAGGAGGCAUCUCCAGAUCACACUGGCGGAGUCCCUCAACCUGUGGAGACUCUCGAUGUAUGAACUGUUUCUGUGGGUGAGCAGCUUGACAGUUGGACACUGGCUCGCUACUCUGCUGCCUUUUCUGCACAUUGGACAUUAACUCCAUACUGGAAGUUAUUUCAGUUGGUGUCAAAUCCAGCCACUUCCUGUGAGUUGGAACGCACAUAAAGAACACAAAUGUAAUAAUUUAAGAUCAAUAGUAAUGUAAUUAAUUAAAGUGAAGAAUGCCAUUUGUUGGACCCCUGUGUCACUUCUCUUUACUUUUCUGUUAACAUGUUUCAUAAUCUUUCACAAAUUCUCACCAAGGAGGAACACCCUUAUUGUGCCACACUUUCUUGUAUACUAAAUGCCAAAACAGAAUUUUUAAAGAGAUUGUUCCGACGUUAUAUAUUGAGUUUGCAGCGUUGAAUUGUGAUGGAGUACAAGGGAACAAGAUUAAGCCAUUGAAAUGACCCUGAAAGAGAUGCAGAAAAAUAAAAAAACAAGUGAACUUGUA